UGAUGAAGUACACAACCACUCAGAUCGGAAACUUGGGCAUCCUGCUGGACUCAUCCUCAGCCCUGAACUGUGCCCUCUGUGCAUCUGGCAACAUUCUCACGUUCCCUUGGUGAAUUUCUAUUAAUAUUUUGGGCAUCUCAAGAUUACCUACUUGGAUAAGUCUUUUCCCAGCUUCCCUUGGCCUUGGAAGAAAGCUGUUUUCCUGCAAGUGAACUUAAUUUACUGUUUUCUGAGUAAUUUGGGAGGAUAUUAGACAGAUAGUUGUGAUCACUUCUCAGAGAACUCCUUGCCCACUGGAGAAGGGUGAGUCGUGGUGGGCCCUGGGGACUGACCAUGCUUUGCCGCUGCUGCUGGAGUUGGCUGACAAGGUCUCUUCUUGGAUCUGGAGCCUACCUUGACUCAAGACAGGUUCCUCCAACCACAAGCCCGAGGAUGCCCUUCUCCUGCUCUCUAAAAGUGCUGGUGACACUUUGUCCAUGUUGAAUGGUCUUCUUGUCCUAUGACUCCCUUUAUUUGACACAUUCUCAGCUUCUGUUUCUGACUAGGAGCUGUAAACUUAUAAUCCCUCUUUUUGGUUAAGAGGAGAAUCACUGGAACCCAGCUGAUGGGAUCACAGGGCUAAGGAGUCCAGAGUUAUUUGAAUCCCUGUGUAGUCCAGCUAACCUGUUCCAUGAUGAGAGCUGCCUGCCUAGUCCAGGGAGCCACCCCAAAGACAAAAGCCUUCCUUAAUCCCAGAGAGGGUGUGUGAGUAAGCAGCCACCCACUGGCAUUGCCAGAAGAAACGAUGGAUGGUGGGUGAGGAGCUCCGUGUUCCCACAAUGGACAAAAUGCUGUUAUUAUGGCCAGUGUGUGCUAUAUCACAUUGCCAAACCCAGUGUUUCAUUAAAGGGGUGUUGGGGGACAGGGUGCCAGGGAUGGUGCUCAUGUAUUGAUAAAUCAAAGUGCUUCUUGCCUUUUCUAAUCUUUUGCAUCUCCUGUUCUGUUUUCCUACCAUUUAAAUCUCUAGUGUACCCUAAUAUGACAGUGUGGUUAAAUAAAUGUGGC
RNAcentral lists this long non-coding RNA (1044 nucleotides) under Homo sapiens (human). RNAcentral's name for it is "HSALNT0315554". Lineage: Eukaryota; Metazoa; Chordata; Mammalia; Primates; Hominidae. The record is from RNAcentral.